Molecule: long non-coding RNA, 7864 nt
Organism: Cavia porcellus (domestic guinea pig)
Lineage: Eukaryota; Metazoa; Chordata; Mammalia; Rodentia; Caviidae
Exons: 2
Source: RefSeq, a predicted model, not a curated record
AUGCCUUAACCUUCCUGAGUCUUAGUUUCCUUGUCCAUGCCUUGGGGGCAGCGACAUGCUCUCACAGAGUCGUAAAGGCUAAGUGAGAUAAUGGAUGCUAGAUGACUGAUUUGGGGGAGUUAGUAGGUGCUGCAGAAAUGGAACUCAUUCAUCCAUGAAGAGCGAGCAUCUUCUAUCAUGAGAAAUUCCAUAUGAUUCUUAUCUUUUUACUCAGGUUAUGAAGUCAAUACCAGGCUGGGAGUGAUGGCACAUGCUUUUAAGCCCAGCUACUCAGGAGGCUGAGGCAGAAGGAUCCCAAGUCUAAGGCCAGCCUGGGCAAUUUAGGCAAGAUCCUGUCUUAAAGAGAGAAAGAGAAGGAGAAGAAAAGAGAGAAGGAGAAAGGAGAAAGGAAAAAAAAAAAAAAAAGAGAAGUCAACAUCAGAUAUCCAGACAUUUGAGAAGCCAGCUGUUCACCGGUUAGAUUCCCCGCUCCCUUCUCCCACCCGGUCCCAUCAUCCCGGAACAGAGACACCAGCUUUAAAUCGCAACCAAGAUCUCCAUUUUGUAAUCAUCACAUCAACAAUCGAUUCAGUCAAGAAUCAUCAAAAGAUGCGAAGGUUUAAUGCAGACAGGGUAUUCACAGCUUACAGAAUCUUCCACCCGACUAUUAAUUACAAAGGGGAACCUGAUAGACUCCUCCUUAACCAAGUGACCCCAGUCAUGAUCACCAACCCAGACACAAAGAGGCAGCAGUGGCUCCUGCUGGGACCCGCUGAGAACCCAGCAUCUCUGCGGUGGGAGCCCUGCUAGCCGGUGCCUAACCUGAAUCAAGCCCUGAGCAACCCAAGCCGGGAACCUUCAGCAGUGCAGCUGACCUGUGCUCCUGAGUAACGCCAGCAUCACAAAAGACAAGGAAAGGCCGAGGGACUGUUCUAAGCUAAAAGCUACAGAGACGGAUUGUGAAACCUGGAAUGGAUCCUGGACCAGAGAAAAACAUCUUUAUUAAGAGCACACUUGGAAGAACCUAAUGCACUGUAAUAUGGCCGGGUAUUAAAUAAGAGUAUAGUAUCUGGUUUUCCCGAUUACGGAAAAUAACCCAUGAUCUUGAGACAUUCACACUGACAUGUGUAAGGGCAAAGCAAUACAAUGCCUGCAACUUAUGCUCAAAGGGUCCCCAAAAAAGAAAAUAAGUACAAAUAUGUAAAAAAAAAAAAAAAAAAAGCAAGAAAAAAAAGAAAAGGUUAGAACAAAUACAGCAAAACGUUGACAUUUCAGACAGCCAAGGGAAGGGUACACUAAGGCUUUGAGCCAGUCCCACAGUUUUUUCGUAAAUUAAAACUAUGUCAAAAUUUCAAAAGUAAAAAAGAAAAAAAUUAGAGCUGGGGUACCUGUGGAAGCCUCCUCCUGUUGCCUGUCCCUGCAGUGCGGGGGAGCAAGGCUCUGACGGAUCCUGGGUUCAAACCCUAGUUUCCACGUGUAAGCUGCACCCUGAGGCUUCGUCCCCGCACUGCAGUCCAGAUAAUGAUAGACUGGCUCUGUCUUAAGAUCUUUAAAAGACGGCCUCAUGCACAGCAGACAAGCAUGCACUCUCUGAGCUGUACCUUCAGCCCUUUUUAUUUUUAAAUUUUGAAACAGGGUCUCACGAAGCUUCCAAUCUGUGAUCCUCCUGCCUCAGCCUUCUACAUAGCUAGGGUUACAAGUGUGUGCAGUGACACUCAGGGUACUACAUGCUUUUCCAUGAACACAUGACAUUAACAAUGUGUAAUAUUCAAAACUGCAGUGUAUGCUCUUGUGAAAUUUAGGCCUUUAGUCGCUUAGUAUGAGGUACUUGAAUUAAUGGAUUAUUCAGCUAUUUGGCCUUCCCUUUUCAAUUGAUUAUAGAGUGGAAAAGAAAGAUAAAUCUGUUUUUUCAUUUCCAAAAACAGAUUUUUUUUGCAUUGAGAAAGGGAAAAAAAAAUACCACUAUCUAUAUUCUUGUAGUGGGAGCUGUGGCUGCCAAAUAUGGGAAUUAAAAACAAAAAGUCUCUGAAAUUUUUACUUGACCUAUUAAGUUUUUGGUUUUUUUUUUUUUUUUUCCUUUUUAUCGGUACCAGGGAUCGAACUCACGACCACCUGCUUGCAAGGCAGGUGCUUAUGCCGCUGAGCUCAAUCCCCAGCCCCAACCUAUUAAGUUUUAAAAAUAGGUUGUUUUUUUGUUUGUUUGUUUCCUUUUUUAUUUUCUUUUAUAAGCACCGGGGAUCGAACUCACAACUGUGCACUUGCAAGGCAGGUGCUUAUGCUGCUGAGCUAAAUCCCCAGUCCCUAAAAAUAGUUUUUUAAAAAAGUGUUUUGUUCUCGUUCAUGGGCUUAAAGAAGGUGCAAAAAGUUUUGCUGUUAAAAAAAUUGUUAAAAGAAUUAAACAAGGUAGUCUAAGUAAAAAAAUGACAUCUGCCAAACAAUUGUUCACAUAUUCUAGAUGUAUAUGCUGCUGAGACUCCAGAAGGGAAAAACACAGAGAUCUUGCCUUUGGGUAGCUUAUACUCAUCAGAAAGAUGGAAAAUAAAUGACUUCAUAAAUAGAUGUUUACUUACAAACAGCUGUACAACCUUGGAGAGAGGUGGAAAGUGGCAGGAGGGACGGGCUCCCACCAGUAGGGUGGUCAGAGGAUGCCGUUAAGGACAGGAAGGGAGAGAUCAGCAGAGUAGGAGGAACAGCAGAGGCAGAGGCCCUGGGAUGGGCAAGAGCUGGGUGAUUCCAAGACACUGCCAUCUUCUCUUCUCUGCUAGACCCCCGGCCACUCCCUGUGCCACCCCAAGGGGACAGAGCCCAGCGCAGAUGUCCAUUCGGUAGCAAGUGAACGGUGGAGCUCUGGCCCCAGUUUGCUCCCGGCCUUGUUAGCUCUUAUCCUCACAAGGUCGCACCAAGGAAGCUUCUGCUCUGGCAGCUCUGCAAUUCUCCCCUCUACAUAACUGGCUUUAGAGGACCCACGGGGAAGGGACCCUGGAGACCGCGCCCCACCCCAUUAGAGCUGAGGGAGCCCAGGCCUUGUGGAAUGCAACUGAGUGCCCCCCACCCCCAUGUCCAUUUUGUUUAUUUGUUCAGCGGGUUUGUUUCAGUCCUGGCACAGCCUGUUCUGACUCUGGAACAUUUAUGAGAUGAGCCAAUUUUUAAAAAUCAUAGAAAAUAAAUGGUUUACUUUUAGAGCAAAGGGGUGGGGUAGCCAGGGUGGGAGACAGGCUUCAGGCCAGCCCUAGGGCAGAAUUUUGGCUUAGGUUUUGCUAUACCCCCAGCCCUGGGAACAAAAGGACUAUCAGUGGGAUUUCCUGCAUCCAUUCUUCCAGUCUGCGAUGGGGAAAGAUUGGAGUAUUUGGCUGUAAGAUUUCCUGUUCUCAUCUCCACCCGCAGCAGCUCCACUCCGGACCCUGGCUUCUAACUUGCUGAGCUCGAGCCACGGCUGGGCCCAGUGAGUGGGCUUGGGAUGGAGGUGUCGGGGCAGCUGGAUCGGUCUGCCCCAUCUGCCUGUGCAGCCUCUGUAAAUACUCUUCAAGAGUCGGUUGUUAUGCCAACCUUGAACUGACUCUGUGCUCCACCAGUUACUUUUUAAAUUUUAAAUUUAAAAAAAUGUCCACUUAGGAUUAACAGGGCAGCUCAAAUGCUGUAUUUCUUGGCUUUUUUCUGACUGGAUAUUAAUACAGAAUAAUAUUUUAUUUUGUGUUGAUCUGAACCAUUUCUUUGCAGCUUGGUAAAUAUGUGGUUACUAAAAACCUGAAAAUGCAAACAAAUCCAAUUUUAUUUACCCAAUAAAAUCAUUUAUUUAAACUUUAAAUCCAGGGUGCUAGAGGGGAUGGGGUAAAAGAGUUCCUGACAGUAAAAGGUCCUCGGUGAGGGUUCAUUAAUACAUGGAUCCAUGAGGGCGAUGGCACCUGUGACCCGCUGUGGUCCCCUGUUGGCUGUCCCAGGAGGACCAGGGGGAGGACCAGUCAGAAGUUACCUAUCUGCAGGCACUUUCUCCCUAAGGGGAGCAACAGGCCCAUCCCUAACCCCAGUCAGGCAGCACUAAGACUGGUGAGCACAUGGGGCUAGGGCUGUGUGUCCCAGAGCCCCUCCAAGGAACAUGGACGACAGCCUGGACUCCAACGCCAGCACCCACCCCAGCGCCCACUGCCCUGUGCUCAAGGCCAUUGUCCAAGAAGCAGAGGCAGGCCAGCUGUGGGAGGUGCUGCUCUUCACUUCCAAGAUUAGCUCAGACCUCAGACACACAGGCCAGCACCUGCCCUUCGUGCCAAGGGAAACAGUGGAUGUCAGAAGCCUCCGUAGGUAUCUGGAAGAGAACAGUGCCUGUGCUCCUCCCUUCCUUGUAUGAGGUCAUUGAAUCAGGAUGACAAAGCAAACAGUGACAUGUGCUGGGACUUGUUCCCAGACUGAAUCCAGGGUUUCUCCAGCCCUUCCCGCCUCCCCACCCAGAGUGGCAGACCCAGGUGUGGACAAUGAGCUAAAACGGACUUGGUUCUGGGGCCCCUGGGAAAUGAAGGGGAGCUGGGAGAUGAUGUCUGCGGUGGAAGAGAGGCGGCCCUGGCUCUGGGACAUUCGCAUUGCCAGACAUUAACAUGGUGCAUUCCAGACUUAACAAGCUUGCACACAUGCCAAUUGGAGUUAAGGAGGGUGGGAAUUCCUCAUCACCGACUUCACCGACGAGGAAACAGGCUCAUUUCAGGUCAUCAGCCUCAUCAAGGUUACAUGGCUUAUGCAUGACAAAACUAGACUUUGACUGGUGGUUCAAGCUUGUAAUUCAGACUUUGACUGGUGGUUCAAGCCUGUAAUUCCGCGACUCAGAAGGUUCGGGAACAAGGAACGCAAGUUUGAAGCCAGCGUGGGCAACAGGGCAAGACCCUCAAAAAAAAAACAAAACCUGGGGAUGUAGCUCACUGGCAGAACACUUGCCUCACACUCAAGGCUCUGGGUUCUCCCAUAGUGCAUGCAUGCACACGUGCGCGCGCACACACACACACACAAUGUGACUGGCAGUUUUGUUCUAUCUUCCUCCCUCACCAGAGUUUCGUGAACUUACUGUGGAUACACCUGCUUCACGCUUCUCGCCUGGUUGCACAGUAUUCCCACACUAGUGUUUACUUUUCUCUUGCAGUCAUUGUAAGAGUUGGCCUCAUUCUAAGCAACACUGUGUGAAUAAUAUGAAACAUUUUAAAUAUACAUUUAACAUAUCCCAUCCCCCUUUUCAUUACUAGGCUAGCGGCCAAAGGGAUGGCCUGUGGAAAUGCUCAGUAUUGUGUACAUGUCUGCUCAGCCGGUGUUACAGUUCUCUACAGUGAAUGUAAUCAUUGUGCAUUACAGCCACAUGCUAGUAAAAGUCAAAAAAGAAAAAUCCUCAACUAACGGCCUCUACUAUGUGUGUUAGGGCUGUGCCCAGCUACAAUCACAGUGAUCAAAUCAUGGAGGAUAAGAAGCAAACCACGGACUCUUAAUGUCUAAGGGACAGACCUUACAUAGCAUAUCCAGUCAUGGCUCUAAAGAUUAAGGGACACCAUUCAAAAAUCUGAAGAUGAAAGCCAGGUGUGGUGGUGCAUAUCUAUAAUCCCAGCACUUGGGAGGCUGAGGCAGGAGGGUCACUGCAAGUUCAAGGCCAGCCUUGACUAUGUAGUGAGACUCUGUCUCAAAAAACAAAACCAAAACCAAACAAAAAAUCUGAAGAUGAAUCAGCAGGCCUUGCUCCUAAAAACCCCAGUGUACAGAGCUGUGUGUGUAGUGUGAGGCCCCAGCUACCAUCUGAUCUGCGGUACUACAAAACAAGCAAACAAAAACAUCACAGACAUAAACAACUGAAAACCAGAAGGAAUAAGCGGAUACCCUGGACUCAGAGAAACUCUGAUCUAGCUUUGGUUCCGUCACAAGCUCAAUGUGUCUUUGAGGAAGUCACUUCAACUUUCCAGGCUGUUUUCUUCGGUAGAGAGGAUGAUAUUUCCAUCUUCUGCUUUUCAAGACUGACUGGUAGGAGACUCAUUCAAAAGGGGCAGCUGGGUGAAAAGCCUUCAAACUGCCAUGUAAACAGCCUAAGACGUAAGGAGGUAAUACUCCAGUUCUUCCACAGGGUGUUUGCACUGUAGCUGGAGAAGGACUAUCCCAAGGUGGAAGGGACUGGGCAGCACCCUUUGGAUCUGACCAUGGACCCUGGCCAUCGUGCUGCUUCCAGGUCCUGGGCCUGGAAACCACCGGGAAACGGAAUCACCCUGCUGCCCUUACCUCCUUUACUCUCGGGGUUUUCUGAUUCUUCCUUUUCUGUUUUAAAAUACCUGUCUUUCGGCUCUCUGCGCCGGUUCGCUGCAUCGUGAUGGGUCUUUACUGCCCUCACGUGGUCACUUUCUGCCAUGGCUACACGGUCUUAAGGCAGAACUGAAGAGACCGGAGCCAACCCUUAAGUUCAGGGUUUUCCAAGGCCAGCGAGGGAAUUAAAAUCCAAGUCAAAGCCAGCUUGUGGGAUCCAGAGCUCCUUGCUGGGAAGGGGUAUCCUGCUUGGUUUUGGCCCAAGUAGGGCAAGAAUCCAAGUCUCUGGAUUAAUCUUGCUAAAGUGGUCAGUUCCCAACUCAUCCAGGUUGCCCUGAGCGAGGUCUUGGAACUGAAAAUAGCUGUGAGGUUUCCUUUCUCUGCCAGGAAAGCCAAAGGGUAGGAAGAGCUGAGACUUGAACCCACCCUACAACACUCGACCACUGAAACCAGCAGGUAACUAAGCACCUGUCUCGUGAACUGCUAGGCAGACUGGAACGGGUACAAAAUAUGUACUCCUGACCUCAAGAACUCAUAAAGCUUACCAAUGUGAAUAACUCACACGCACAUAUAGUGAACAGAAUCAAGGCCAGGCAUGUGGUGCACACUUGUAACCCCAGCACUAGGGAGACUGAGGCAGGAGACCAGUGAGUUGGAAGCCAGCCUGGGCUACAGAGUGAGUUCAAGACCACCCCGCCAUAUAAUGAAACCCCAUCUCAAAAAGACCAAAAAACACAAAACACAAAAAACCCCACAUACACACACAAAGAAACCCAGAAUUAAUCAAUUAUAAUAAGGACUGAUAAAAGUAGAAAUAAAGUAUUAAGAAUUAAUGAGAAGCACAGGGUUGGUAAAAGCCAUGGGGAUCAGGAAAUUUCAAGAAAAUAGGCUUGCUGGACGUGGUGGCUCACGCCUGUAAUCCCAGCACUCGGAGGCUGAGGCGGGAGAAUUGUUGUGAGUUCCAGACCAGCCUGGGCUACAAAGUGAGCUCAAGGCCAGCCAGAACUGCAUAGCGAGACCCCGUCUCAAAAAAAAAAAAAAAAAAAAAAAAAAGGCUCAAAGCGCAAUGUCUUUAAAAUCAGUAGGACGUGGGGAACAGAGUACAACAAGGAUUUCUAGGCAGUGAAACUAUCCGUAUAUAAUAGUGGAUGCAUGACCUAUAUUUGUCAAAUCCAUGCAGCAUACAAUGCCAAAAGUGAACCCUACUGUAAAGCAUGGACUUUAGGUGAAUGUUGUCCAUGUAAGUUUAUCAGUUACAAACAACAUACCACUCUUAGGGGGUGCUGGUAAUGCAGAAGCAGUGUGUUGUGAGGGCAGGGAUGUAUGAAGAGCUUUGACCUUUCCACUCAGUUUUUCCAUGAAUUUUCCCCAAAAAAUAUUCCCAAAAAAUCACCAUGGAAGAGAUAAAGAACAAUUUGAUUAAUUCCAGUUUUGAAGAAGACACUACCAGUUAGGAAUUUUCUGUUAAUAAGUCUCUAAGUUCAGUCAUCCCUUGGUGUCCAGGAGAAUUGAUUCUAGGACUAUCUGCAGGCACCAUAAUCUGUACAUGCUAUGUUGGUUACUUUUCUUUUAUUGCUGGGACAAACUAUCUGACACACAAAAUUAAGGAAUAAAAGGUUUAUUUAGCUUA